This is a long non-coding RNA of Micropterus dolomieu (smallmouth bass), 1746 nucleotides long. RefSeq lists it as uncharacterized. The record is from RefSeq and is a predicted model, not a curated record. The transcript has 3 exons. Lineage: Eukaryota; Metazoa; Chordata; Actinopteri; Centrarchiformes; Centrarchidae.
GUGAUCUGCCCCCCGCCGGCCUUCCAGUGUUAAUCGUCCAAAACAUAGUCGGAGUAACGGGAUUCACCCGGUGGGCCGGUCGCCCUGCGGCCCCUGAACAGCCCUGAAGAGCAGCAGCAGCUGAUCAGUAGGACAGAAGACUACAGGGAAAAAGGAGCUUGUGGGUUUGGAUAAUGUGAGCCGGCUGUUUUUAUUGAAACACCGACGCUCUCGUCAGCGUCACUUUUUCUGAACAGACCAAUCACAGCCUGGAUGGAGCGGGAUUAAAAAAAGUUUGAUGUGCUGCAACAAACUUUAUAAAUGUUGAAGUCUGUUCUGCAUAAACGGUUCUGAUUACUGACUAAAAUCAAGGCUCAUAACAGCAAUAAAAAACAACCCCAGACUGAAGCAGCUGUAAUUUGAAUUAAUAUUAUACUAGUGGAAAGUUACAUUAUACACAUAAUUAAAUUACCAGCGGUGAACGCAAAGCAUUUUGGGAAUCCGCGGCACAAACAUAAUGUGCCAGACGUGACUGCAUGGAGGGAAGACGGCGGCGUUGAAGAUGGCGUCCACCUGCUGUGUUAUAAACUAAUAUUCGUUCUCAUGAUGGAAGCUGAUAAAGCUUAAGAACAGAAUAUCAUUAAAAAAAAACAAUAGUACAAGCCACGUCCACGUUUCAGAGGCGGCGAAUGGCGUGUGAUGGUGCGUUCAGAGCUUUUUCACAAAGGCGGUGAAACGUUGAUCCCGAUCGGGCCCCUUCUCUGUACCUCGGCCACACUGAGGUCAAAGCUACGAACGCAGACCAGUUCAAGCGGUUUAGGAGAAGAGCGGCGAGGCGCUGAACACACCGGUCAAUGAAGCAGCACCUUUGUUCCCGGACUACUCUGCACCUGUGGCUGAGAUGGAAGGACCAGAGACUCGGCCCCAGACAAUGCAGGGACAGAGGAAGAUCUGGAAACACCAGGGUGACGGUGCUACAAUGGGGAAUGCAGAUGAACGGCAGAAAUGUGGCCUCAGGCUCAGAAGAAAUAAUCCGCUCGCAGGAGGAGAAUAGGCCGCUGAGGGGAGAGCUCUCCGAGAAGGCCCUGGAUGAGAAUGAUGCAGAGGUGACGUACUACGCUGGCCUUCCGUCUUUCAGUCUGUUGAUGGGCGUGCUGAAGAAAACUCUCCCAAACUCUCCUCCUGACCCUCAUGCGCUUAAGACUUGAUGUUGCCCACCUCUUUGACAUUAGCCAGUCCGUUCAUUGAGACAUCAGUGUUCUGCCUGCACACCUCAGAGCGACACUGUACACAGCCAAACCUGCCACAUCAGUAUGUAGAGAUGUGAGUAUUGACCGCUUCCACUGAAAGGCCAGUGAAACGUCUGAUCGGCAGAACGCCACGAGUUACUGUUUCUUUCAUUUCCACCCAGAACUGCGGCUCUCUGCUGGAGACCUGGUGUUAGCGGGCCGUGGAUUUGAUAUUAAAGCAAGUGCUACACUGAAAAGGGGGCCACAGCCAACUUAAAGCAGCAGACCAGGAUCCACGUGGAGCUCUAACACAUUAGAUGACAGUACGUCUGGGGUUUGUGGUGCCUUGUGGGGUGGGGGACAAGACUUUGACCGAUAUGUGUCCAAGUGUUGUUGUGAAGCCGUCGUGUUAGAUUUACACACCGUGCUCACAGCUAAUAUGGAAAUAUGAGUUUUUGUUUUCCAAAAGAUUUUGUAGUCACUUCUCACAUGUAAUGAUUUUUAGCCAUCUCUGUAAAUAAAAUACACAAAGACUGAA